AGAGUUUGAUCAUGGCUCAGAUUGAACGCUGGCGGCAGGCCUAACACAUGCAAGUCGAACGGUAACAGGAAGCAGCUUGCUGCUUUGCUGACGAGUGGCGGACGGGUGAGUAAUGCUCAUGUGCGAAACUGCCUGAUGGAGGGGGAUAACUACUGGAAACGUUAGCUAAUACCUUGCAUAACGUCGCACGACUGUAACCGAUGUGGACCUUCGGAGCGUCUGUGCCAUCUGAUGUGCCCAGAUGGGCUUCAGCUAGCUAACGCGUGGGGUAACGGCUCGACCGCUAGGGGACGUAUCGGCCUAGCAUGGUCUGAGAGGAUGACUCAGCCACACUGGAACUGUGACGGGGUCCCGACUCCUACGCGGUGGCAGCAGUGUGGUUUAAUUGCGAUGCAAUGGGCGCAAGAACCUGAUGCAGCCAUGCCGUCUUGAUAUCGACAGAAGGCCUUCGGGUAGUAGAUGUCCUUGGUGCCUUCGGGGACUGUGAGACAGGUGCUGCAUGGCUGUCGUCAGCUCGUGUUGUGAAAUGUUGAGGUUAAGUCCCGCAGACGAGCGCAACCGGCUUACUCCUUUGUUGCCAGCGGUUAGGCCGCGGUAACUACAGAGGAGACUGCCAGUGUUAAUCUGGAGGAUUAGGUGGGGAUAGAGCGUCACGUCAUCAUGGCUCUGUCACGAUCAGGAUGCUGACAUCCCCGUGCUACAACCUGGGNACUGCAUCCGAAACUGAGCAGNCUGAGUCUCGCUAGAGCCAGCGGAGGUCAUGAAUUGCAGUCGUAGUCCGNGAAUUGCGUANAGAUCUGNGCAUACCGUGGCGAAGCGUCCCUGGAGUCGAGAACUGCGCUCAGUGCGAAUCGUGGGGAUCAGAAUGUCACGGUUAGAUACCGUUCCCGGGCCUUGUACACACCGCCCGUCACACCAUGGGAGUGGGUUGCAAAAGAAGUAGGUAGCUUAACCUUCGGGAGGGCGCUUACCACUUUGUGAUUCAUGACUGGGGUGAAGUCGUAACAAGGUAGC
This 1014-nucleotide ribosomal RNA is filed under the name uncultured Enterobacter sp. RNAcentral describes it as "partial 16S ribosomal RNA". It matches the Rfam family "Bacterial small subunit ribosomal RNA". Lineage: Bacteria; Pseudomonadati; Pseudomonadota; Gammaproteobacteria; Enterobacterales; Enterobacteriaceae. The record is from RNAcentral.